UACAGGGGGUGCAAGCGUUACUCGGAAUUACUGGGCGUAAAGGGUGCGUAGGUGGUUUGUUAAGUCUGCUGUGAAAUCCCCGGGCUCAACCUGGGAAUGGCAGUGGAUACUGGCAAGCUAGAGUGCGGUAGAGGGUAGUGGAAUUCCCGGUGUAGCAGUGAAAUGCGUAGAGAUCGGGAGGAACACCAGUGGCGAAGGCGGCUACCUGGACCAGCACUGACACUGAAGCACGAAAGCGUGGGGAGCAAACAGG
This 253-nucleotide ribosomal RNA is filed under the name uncultured bacterium. Its description in RNAcentral is "partial 16S ribosomal RNA". It matches the Rfam family "Bacterial small subunit ribosomal RNA", at positions 524 to 776 of the family's 1533-position model. The record is from RNAcentral.